Molecule: ribosomal RNA, 900 nt
Filed under: uncultured bacterium
Lineage: Bacteria
Description: bacterial SSU rRNA
Rfam family: Bacterial small subunit ribosomal RNA
Source: RNAcentral
CGGCAGCACAGAGGAGCUUGCUCCUUGGGUGGCGAGUGGCGGACGGGUGAGGAAUACAUCGGAAUCUACUCUGUCGUGGGGGAUAACGUAGGGAAACUUACGCUAAUACCGCAUACGACCUACGGGUGAAAGCAGGGGAUCUUCGGACCUUGCGCGAUUGAAUGAGCCGAUGUCGGAUUAGCUAGUUGGCGGGGUAAAGGCCCACCAAGGCGACGAUCCGUAGCUGGUCUGAGAGGAUGAUCAGCCACACCGGAACUGAGACACGGUCCAGACUCCUACGGGAGGCAGCAGUGGGGAAUAUUGGACAAUGGGCGCAAGCCUGAUCCAGCCAUACCGCGUGGGUGAAGAAGGCCUUCGGGUUGUAAAGCCCUUUUGUUGGGAAAGAAAUCCAGCUGGUUAAUACCCGGUUGGGAUGACGGUACCCAAAGAAUAAGCACCGGCUAACUUCGUGCCAGCAGCCGCGGUAAUACGAAGGGUGCAAGCGUUACUCGGAAUUACUGGGCGUAAAGCGUGCGUAGGUGGUCGUUUAAGUCCGUUGUGAAAGCCCUGGGCUCAACCUGGGAACUGCAGUGGAUACUGGACGACUAGAGUGUGGUAGAGGGUAGCGGAAUUCCUGGCGUAGCAGUGAAAUGCGUAGAGAUCGGGAGGAACAUCCAUGGCGAAGGCAGCUACCUGGACCAACACUGACACUGAGGCACGAAAGCGUGGGGAGCAAACAGGAUUAGAUACCCUGGUAGUCCACGCCCUAAACGAUGCGAACUGGAUGUUGGGUGCAAUUUGGCACGCAGUAUCGAAGCUAACGCGUUAAGUUCGCCGCCUGGGGAGUACGGUCGCAAGACUGAAACUCAAAGGAAUUGACGGGGGCCCGCACAAGCGGUGGAGUAUGUGGUUUAAUUCGAU